AACCAUGCACCGAAGCUGCGGCAGCGAACGUAUCACCCAAGACAACUUUGCACAGUUGACGAUUGACGGAGCGGAGCGACGUCAAAGCGUUUUACAACGUCGAGUUGGCUUAGGGAUACGUUCGUUGGGUAGGGGAGCGUUCUGUAAGCCUGCGAAGGUGGCCUGUGAGGGUUGCUGGAGGUAUCAGAAGUGCGAAUGCUGACAUAAGUAACGAUAAAGCGGGUGAAAAGCCCGCUCGCCGGAAGACCAAGGGUUCCUGUCCAACGUUAAUCGGGGCAGGGUGAGUCGACCCCUAAGGCGAGGCCGAAAGGCGUAGUCGAUGGGAAACGGGUUAAUAUUCCCGUACUUGGUGUUACUGCGAAGGGGGGACGGAGAAGGCUAUGUUGGCCGGGCGACGGUUGUCCCGGUUUAAGCGUGUAGGCUGGUUUUCCAGGCAAAUCCGGAAAAUCAAGGCUGAGGCGUGACGACGAGGCACUACGGUGCUGAAGCAACAAAUGCCCUGCUUCCAGGAAAAGCCUCUAAGCAUCAGGUAACAUCAAAUCGUACCCCAAACCGACACAGGUGGUCAGGUAGAGAAUACCAAGGCGCUUGAGAGAACUCGGGUGAAGGAACUAGGCAAAAUGGUGCCGUAACUUCGGGAGAAGGCACGCUGACACGUAGGUGAAGUGAUUUACUCAUGGAGCUGAAGUCAGUCGAAGAUACCAGCUGGCUGCAACUGUUUAUUAAAAACACAGCACUGUGCAAACACGAAAGUGGACGUAUACGGUGUGACGCCUGCCCGGUGCCGGAAGGUUAAUUGAUGGGGUCAGCGCAAGCGAAGCUCCUGAUCGAAGCCCCGGUAAACGGCGGCCGUAACUAUAACGGUCCUAAGGUAGCGAAAUUCCUUGUCGGGUAAGUUCCGACCUGCACGAAUGGCGUAAUGAUGGCCAGGCUGUCUCCACCCGAGACUCAGUGAAAUUGAACUCGCUGUGAAGAUGCAGUGUACCCGCGGCAAGACGGAAAGACCCCGUGAACCUUUACUAUAGCUUGACACUGAACAUUGAGCCUUGAUGUGUAGGAUAGGUGGGAGGCUUUGAAGUGUGGACGCCAGUCUGCAUGGAGCCAACCUUGAAAUACCACCCUUUAAUGUUU
This 1131-nucleotide ribosomal RNA is filed under the name Salmonella enterica. RNAcentral describes it as "partial 23S ribosomal RNA". It matches the Rfam family "Bacterial large subunit ribosomal RNA", at positions 1185 to 2215 of the family's 2925-position model. The record is from RNAcentral. Lineage: Bacteria; Pseudomonadati; Pseudomonadota; Gammaproteobacteria; Enterobacterales; Enterobacteriaceae.